GGGAAAGGGGAAGAGGGGCCAGCCCCGGGCCCCUCAACAGUGUUACGGGGCA
This is a non-coding RNA of Myotis davidii, 52 nucleotides long. Lineage: Eukaryota; Metazoa; Chordata; Mammalia; Chiroptera; Vespertilionidae. The record is from Rfam.